This 253-nucleotide ribosomal RNA is filed under the name uncultured bacterium. RNAcentral's name for it is "partial 16S ribosomal RNA". It matches the Rfam family "Bacterial small subunit ribosomal RNA", at positions 524 to 776 of the family's 1533-position model. The record is from RNAcentral.
UACGUAGGGUGCGAGCGUUAAUCGGAAUUACUGGGCGUAAAGCGUGCGCAGGCGGUUUUGUAAGCCAGAUGUGAAAGCCCCGGGCUUAACCUGGGAAUGGCAUUUGGGACUGCAAGGCUUGAGUGCGGCAGAGGAGACUGGAAUUCCCGGUGUAGCGGUGAAAUGCGCAGAUAUCGGGAGGAACACCAAUGGCGAAGGCAGCUCGCUGGGACGUGACUGACGCUGAGACGCGAAAGCGUGGGGAGCAAACAGG